RNAcentral lists this transfer RNA (76 nucleotides) under Brumicola pallidula DSM 14239 = ACAM 615. RNAcentral's name for it is "Glaciecola pallidula DSM 14239 = ACAM 615 tRNA-Glu". It matches the Rfam family "tRNA". From Rfam's summary of the family: Transfer RNA (tRNA) molecules are approximately 80 nucleotides in length. Their secondary structure includes four short double-helical elements and three loops (D, anti-codon, and T loops). Further hydrogen bonds mediate the characteristic L-shaped molecular structure. tRNAs have two regions of fundamental functional importance: the anti-codon, which is responsible for specific mRNA codon recognition, and the 3' end, to which the tRNAs corresponding amino acid is attached (by aminoacyl-tRNA synthetases). tRNAs cope with the degeneracy of the genetic code in two manners: having more than one tRNA (with a specific anti-codon) for a particular amino acid; and 'wobble' base-pairing, i.e. permitting non-standard base-pairing at the 3rd anti-codon position. Lineage: Bacteria; Pseudomonadati; Pseudomonadota; Gammaproteobacteria; Alteromonadales; Alteromonadaceae. The record is from RNAcentral.
UUCCCCUUCGUCUAGAGGCCUAGGACACCGCCCUUUCACGGCGGUAACAGGGGUUCGAAUCCCCUAGGGGACGCCA